GGGGAAAACCCGAAAGGGCGCUUCUGGUUAAAUGGACGGAAAGAAAGUGAAAACCCGCGAGGGCGCUUUCCAUAGAAUAAGAAGAAAAUCGGGAACAGAAGAGGGGCAUUUGAAGAAAAUGGGGUUAUAGGUCAAGUCUUGCAACUUCUUUUCCGUUAAUCAUCGGCCUUCGGUAUCUUGUUAAGUACACUUCGUCAGGGAAAGAACUUCAUGUGUCAAGGUUAGACUUGCCUUGUAAGUUGAUUUUAAUUUCUUGCAAUUUACAUUUUCUGUUAUCAACCUCUGGUUCCUUGAU
RNAcentral lists this unclassified non-coding RNA (295 nucleotides) under Hevea brasiliensis (rubber tree). The record is from RNAcentral. Lineage: Eukaryota; Viridiplantae; Streptophyta; Magnoliopsida; Malpighiales; Euphorbiaceae.